UCGUGGUACGUUCUCCGUCUGUGCCGGUGCCGGGCUUCUCUCCGCUGGGUGGCCGGCCGUCGUCGGCGUUUUCCCGCGCCCGGGGCAACCCGUGGCGUUGUGGUGGCGCAGGCGGCGGUGGCCAGGCGCCCGGACUCGUUUACUUUGAGUAAAGGAGAGUGCUUAAGGCAGGCUUAUUUCGCCUGUGGAUCUCGGUGCAUGGAAUAAUGGAACAGGGCCUCGCGCCUUUGUUUGUUGGUUUCCGGGCGCUCCGAGGUAAUGAUUAAGAGGGACGGUUCGGGGACAUUCGUACUGCGGCGUGAGAGGUGAAAUUCUUGGAUCGCUGCAAGACGAACUGCGGCGAAGGCAUUUGUCAAGGACGUCCUUAUUAAUCAAGAACGAAAGUUAGAGGUUCGAAGGCGAUCAGAUACCGCCCUAGUUCUGACCGUAAACGAUGCCAACUGACGAUCCGCCCCUUGUCGCGCGCAAGACGGGGUGGGCAGCCCCCGGGAAACCAAAGUUUUUGGGUUCCGGGGGGAGUAUGGUUGCAAAGCUGAAACUUAAAGGAAUUGACGGAAGGGCACCACAAGGAGUGGAGCCUGCGGCUUAAUUCGACUCAACACGGGAAACCUCACCAGGCCCGGACACCGGAAGGAUUGACAGACCUUUCUCUAUGAAGCUCUUUCUCGAUUCGGUGGGUGGUGGUGCAUGGCCGUUCGUGGUUGGUGGAGCGAUCUGUCUGGUUCAUUCCGAUAACGAACGAGACUCCGGCCUGCUAACUAGGCGGCGACUCCGUGCUUGUUGCGGCGUCUGCUGGUGCUUCUUAGAGGGACGGGCGGCGG
This 821-nucleotide ribosomal RNA is filed under the name uncultured eukaryote. RNAcentral's name for it is "bacterial SSU rRNA". It matches the Rfam family "Eukaryotic small subunit ribosomal RNA", at positions 722 to 1429 of the family's 1831-position model. The record is from RNAcentral.